Molecule: long non-coding RNA, 331 nt
Filed under: Ricinus communis (castor bean)
Lineage: Eukaryota; Viridiplantae; Streptophyta; Magnoliopsida; Malpighiales; Euphorbiaceae
Description: long non-coding RNA (RCOM_LNC002644)
Source: RNAcentral
UCAUCGUCACCGUAAUAGCCGACGAAAGUAGAUUCUUCAUAUCCUCUCUUGAUUUAUGUUAUCUUUUAAUCCCUUUGCUACUAUGUGAUAGAAGUGGAAGAAAAAUGAGAAUUAGGGAAAUGGUGGUACAGGUACUGGCCGGGGGUAGGUUGAUAAAAUGAUAACGGAGCCACCAAAAAUGGUUGCCCUUUAUUUUGGUCUUGAAUAAACUGACAAGGGCACAUGUCAAUUCAUGCCCCGCUGUUAUUCACCUCCAAAGCUAUUCCUUUUUUCAAAGAAUAGGUAUAAUUACUACUGGGCCCCUGAGGUUUAUCAUAUUAUAAUACUCAGG